UACAGGAGGCCCGAGCGUUAAUCGUAAUCACUGGGCUUAAAGGGUGCGUCGGCGGGCCCGCAAGUGCGUUGUGAAAUCCCCCGGCUCAACCGGGGAAUUGCAGCGCGGACUGAGGGUCUUGAGGAAGCUAGGGGCCGCUGGAACGCUCGGUGGAGCGGUGAAAUGCGUUGAGAUCGAGCGGAACGCCGAUGGUGAAGACAGGCGGCUGGGGCUUUCCUGACGCUGAGGCACGAAAGCGUGGGGAUCAAACAGG
RNAcentral lists this ribosomal RNA (253 nucleotides) under uncultured bacterium. RNAcentral's name for it is "partial 16S ribosomal RNA". It matches the Rfam family "Bacterial small subunit ribosomal RNA", at positions 524 to 776 of the family's 1533-position model. The record is from RNAcentral.